UCAAGGUCCAAGGUGAGGGGAGGGCAGAGCCAGGGUGCUGCAGGAGUAGGGCCAGGAGCUAUGCUGGCUCCAGUGGGCCAGGGGAGGUGGCCCGGGAGGUGGCCCGGGAGGCAAACCUUCUGGAGUGGAGAAGCCCUGACUUUGGAGACUGCCCUUGUCUCUGGCUCAGCAACAAGAUGAACCAAUUCCGGACCUCCUCCUACCCAAGUCCCCGGCUGGAUCCACUUGUGCUUAAAAUGGGCAGAGCCCAGGCGGCCCAAGCCCCCAAAAGGGACAUAAAUAGAACCAAAGUACAACAAGCUACUCAAUUCUCAGCACCUCAAGUGUCAGCCCUGGGUCUUUCGGGGGCAGACGAGCAAGAAAUUAUUUCUUGCUGAAGAGAAAUAAGAGCAUAAAUCGCCCGUGCGCACGGGGAGUCACCUUAGCAAGCUGGGCAAGGCCGGCGCCACCCGUCCAGCCCCGGGGCCUUGUUCUGCAGCCUCGCUGGGACCUAAGCACCUCACCCCUCAGGCUGGCCCUGCUCCACUCUCCCCAGCCUCUGACGGGGCAGCGGGAAAGGCACUAGUGAGGACAGUCUGUUGCGUCUGGAAGUUCCCUUACUCCUCCCAAAGGGCUCUCAGGACCUGACCCUGGCAGCCCAAUGACAGCAGGAUGACAGACAGGCUGCAGCAGAAGCUGGAGGGCCCUCUCCUGGGGGACCCCAGGCCUGAGGCCUCUCCUCUGCCUGGCAAAGGCCCAGACUGGUCAUCUCUCCACCUGGCCUCCUCGGCUCCUGCCUGACCGGCCAGAUGCCAGCGUGGGCGUGACCACCCAGGCGUCUUCAAUGCUCUGCUCCUCACAGUGCUUUCAAAUGACCUGCUGCAGUUAGCACAGCCUGGAAUACAGCAGGGACACACGGGGUUGCAGGAGGGGAGACCCCAGGGGGGACCCACACCCAGGCUUAUUUAUCCCAGAUGUGAGGCUGACCCUAUGAAACGGAGAAUUUCAUCUAAUACUUCAGUGAAGCUACUUCUGGGAAAUCAGUAGCCCUGGGGAAGGUGUCACAUGGACCUGAAGACACAUUAUGAAAUGGUAUCUUUGAAAAGACACGACGUGAUUGUUAGACGUGGCAUCAUUGUACUAUUCCCCCUAAAUUUGCACAAAUGUGACGUCAAUAAAAAUGUUUUUUAAAGUAAAACGAAAAAGAUAUGAUAAUCUCAACCCAAGACCCCCAUCAGCUUUGGACUGUCUGGUCCAUUGGGAAACAACCCCCUCCCCCCCCCAAAAAAAAGAAGCCACUGCUGAGGACCCAGUGGCCAGGUGCAGUGGCCCUCCCACCUGCCCGGCUGGGGAGCUGCGGUGCCACACCAUCAGGCUCAAGGACUCAAGGACAAGACUGUCUUCUUUAAAUCCAACUAUAAUCGGAGAAAUUGAGGUUUGGGGACCAAAGUUCCUUCUUUUACGCCCUCCUAUUAACCCGGGAACAAGUCCCUGGGGGGAAGAAAUUGGCAUUUUCUGGAGAGUUUUAAAAAGGAGGAGAUUUUGUCCAACAGCCUUGGACGUCAGUUCCCUGAUCAGAAGCUGACACACCAGGAGAGAAACCAGGAGGCAGACGGAAGAGGCUCCUCUAACCAGCCCUCUCUGCCCCACACAUUGAUCACCUCCUGUCCCCAAGGGCCAGAGGAAAGAUCCAGAGAACAGUUUUCCAUUUGUAUGUGUCAAACUCAGCUCACUCCCUUGGAGCCAAGAAAAGAGAUUUAAACUACAAGUGUCGGCCGGUUUCCCGGUAACUAAACUAGUCAUUUGGCAUUUCAAGAGCAUCCGAGAUUCGAGAUGCGUAAUUGCAGAGGCGAGGAGAGAGGGUCACUUCUUCAGCUCGCCCACACCGUCUGGAAGGGCUGAUUUUAACCCUGGGAGAGCAGCCUCUUCGACAGGAGCCUCCUUCCCAAGAUCGAGGGGACCCAGAGAGGGGCUGCAGAGGCUGCCGCGGCAAGGGACCUAAACCCAGAGAAGUGAAGAGGACUUGCCCAGGAUCACGCAGGACAUUAACUCCUUCCUCCAGGAUCUCUGGGGACGAAGCAGGCUGGAGCACUCAGUCGGAGCUGUGUUCUAAGUUUUGCCUUAGUUUAAAAAUAGCCCAGCUCACAAGAUGGUUUAUUUCGGACCAACGAGGCUCACUUUGUUUCAAGCCACUUUGAUUCUCAGAGGACAGACAGCAUGUGUGCCGGAGAACUCCACAGCACUUUGGAAACACGGAAAAUGUACAGGUUCGAUGUGAGCGGACUACGUUCCACGGCAUCUGACAAAAACGCAGCCAUUCCAGGAAAGCCACCAACAGAUAGAGCAAAAGCUUGCUACGCGAACAGAAAGGACCAUUAGUGGUGUGCUCUGUGGGACGGCCUUUCCUCCAGAGUCUGGAUCCAGACAGCAGCUCAUACUUGCUCCCAAAUAAAGUCAGGUCUGCUUUCCUUUCACACAGCCUUACCCUCUGCAAUGAGUCAGGCGCCUGGGGUCCACUAAGACAACAGUCUCUACAAGACAUCAAGCCUUUGCUAAGUCCUCAUCUGUAAAGGUGACCCCCAGUAUUGCUGUGUAUAUGAACUGGAAAUUAAGGCUCAGGGGGGUUAAUGGAGAUAAGUGACUCUGGGUUCCUGGCUGGAGGAUACAAAGGGCUACCUGUCUGGAUAAUGCUGCUCCUAUAACCCAGGAAGUCCCAGACUUAUCUCACUGCCCAGCCAGGAACAGAUCGGGGGCUCUCCAGUGUGGUGCUAAGGACAGUCUGGACUUUGCAGAGUCUGGUGUUGAGCAGUGUUACCAGCGCCCACCCUCUAGAUGCCAAUGGCAUCUCCCAUUGUGACAACCCAAAUAUCUCCAAACACUGACAAAAGUCCCCUGGGAGAGGAGAGGCCGGACAUGGGAGAAGCCACGGCUGAGCCACAGGAGCCUGAUUCUGGGGAAGGAGAUAUUAAGGUCCACACCCUCCCUGACACAGCCCCUUGCCCAGGACCCUCUCACCUGUAGGGUCCAAGAGGGCUCAGAAAAACCAAGAGUCUGUGGAGCUGCCAUCCGGAGUGGGGUGACAGUCCAGCCACUUAGGAGGAAUUUGUGAGGGGUCCGCAGUAGUCAUGUCACAGUGCAGAACGUUUCCCUACGAGGGCCCCUGGGGGAGCCAGGUUAUGACCAGCAGCAUCGGGAAACAUUCACCAAGAAUCCAACACCGAGUGACCACAGAAACUGACCUUUAUUAAACGCCCACUAUGUGCCAGGCA
Molecule: long non-coding RNA, 3248 nt
Organism: Marmota monax (woodchuck)
Lineage: Eukaryota; Metazoa; Chordata; Mammalia; Rodentia; Sciuridae
Exons: 2
Source: RefSeq, a predicted model, not a curated record